Paramuricea clavata is the source of this 1299-nucleotide non-coding RNA. Lineage: Eukaryota; Metazoa; Cnidaria; Anthozoa; Malacalcyonacea; Plexauridae. The record is from the annotation of a GenBank genome assembly.
UCGAAAGCUUUGCAGUAAUAAAUUUACGUGGUGUUUCCACAAACAAAAACAAUUAACUAUGUAAUAAGUACUGUGCCGGGAAUGGAACCUGUUGCCCUGUGAUUCUGAACAGUUCCUGAACAGCUGAGAGUCCAUCAAGCCCUGAGAGUCCAAGCGCCAAGAAUCCAUCAAGCUAACCAAGAGUUCAUUUAUACAAUACUAUAGUGUCAUCCCAGUUUAUUUAAUAUACUACAAUGCAGUAACACCACCAUCAUGGUAUGAUUAUACAGAAAGUUAUGGUUACAUCUUGGCAAAAGGACUCUUUAAGUCAGAGGGCUGCAGUAGAAUUGCAGGGCUGCAGGUUCAAUUCAUGCUGGCAGGCUUUUAAUUGUAUUAAAACUGUCUGUACCAGUACCAGUGUGGGUGGUACCAAUGUGAAAUUGCUAUGCUGAGUGGUUAUAUUACUACCUGAAAACAAACAAACAAACAGAAACUCAAUGUUUUGAGCAAAGACCCUUCACUCGAAAUGUUGAGUUUCUGCUUGUUUUUUUUUUCAGGUAGCAAUAUAACCACUCAACACAGCAAUUGUAAUUGUAUUCCUUUGCAAUUGCUCUCACAAAGUUCUAAGGUACCGAUAGCUCUAGUUUAUUUAAUUGUCUUAUUAUAUUGUAUUGAUAUAUUUUUUAUCAAAUUCCAUGUAUACAUGUUCAGUGAUGUAAGACUCACAAAUUUUCUUCAUUUUAAUGCAGUGUAUAGGUUGUGACAUUAAAUUGGUCGAAAUGACAAAAAAAAUUGGUCGAAAUGAUCCAAAAAAAUUGGUCACCUGUAUGCAUCUGAGAGAACCAAUUAAAAAUGGUUGUUUUAACCAAUAAAAUAAACCAUAAUAUUAGAUGCAUCCAGGUGACCAAUUUUUUUUUGUCAUUUCGACCAAUCAGUUUUUACAGUGUAUAUCAAUGACUGCACAACCCAAUACUUUCAUACACCUUAUUACAAUACACCUAAUCGCUGCACUGAAUAAUGCGGUUAUAUUAAUUAUACUAUAGUAGAAAAUAUAUUUUAAAAUACAAUUUUGAUCAGACUUUACUUAUUUAUAGGUAAUCUAUUUUAGAAUAAUUAUUCAUUAUAUUUUUAAAAAUCAAAAUUGUUGUAAAGAUAAAAUAGUCUAGCCUUAUUAUGUAAUUACGUAUAAGCGUAACAUGCACUUGAUGUAAGCGCAUUUGAUUAUAUAUAUACACUGUAAAUUUCAGGGAGUUAAUUUAACUCCAGUGGUAUUAUUCUGAAUCUAAUUUUACUCCAAAUUUGGAGUUAAUUGAGGUACAG